GACGAACGCUGGCGGCGUGCUUAACACAUGCAAGUCGAACGGAAAGGCCCUGCUUUUGUGGGGUGCUCGAGUGGCGAACGGGUGAGUAACACGUGAGUAACCUGCCCUUGACUUUGGGAUAACUUCAGGAAACUGGGGCUAAUACCGGAUAGGAGCUCCUGCUGCAUGGUGGGGGUUGGAAAGUUUCGGCGGUUGGGGUUGGACUCGCGGCUUAUCAGCUUGUGGGUGGGGUAGUGGCUUACCAAGGCAUUGGCGGGUGGCCGGCGUGGGAGGGUGACCGGCCAAAUUGGGAUGGAGAUACGGCCCAGCCUCCUACGGGGGGCAGCAGUGGGGAAUAUUGCACAAUGGGCGGAAGCCUGAUGAAGCAACGCCGCGUGCGGGAUGACGGCCUUCGGGUUGUAACCCGCUUUCGUAUGUGACGAAGCGUGAGUGACGGUAAUGGGUAAAGAAGCACCGGCUAACUACGUG
RNAcentral lists this ribosomal RNA (468 nucleotides) under uncultured bacterium. RNAcentral describes it as "partial 16S ribosomal RNA". It matches the Rfam family "Bacterial small subunit ribosomal RNA", at positions 28 to 507 of the family's 1533-position model. The record is from RNAcentral.